GACGAACGCUGGCGGCGUGCCUAAUACAUGCAAGUAGAACGCUGAAGGAGGAGCUUGCUCUUCUGGAUGAGUUGCGAACGGGUGAGUAACGCGUAGGUAACCUGCCUGGUAGCGGGGGAUAACUAUUGGAAACGAUAGCUAAUACCGCAUAACAGUAGAUGUUGCAUGACAUUUGCUUAAAAGGUGCAAUUGCACCACUACCAGAUGGACCUGCGUUGUAUUAGCUAGUUGGUGGGGUAACGGCUCACCAAGGCGACGAUACAUAGCCGACCUGAGAGGGGGAUCGGCCGCCCUGGGACUGAGACACGGCCCAGACUCCUACGGGAGGCAGCAGUAGGGAAUCUUCGGCAAUAGACGGAAGUCUGACCGAGCAACGCCGCGUGAGUGAAGAAGGUUUUCGGAUCGUAAAGCUCUGUUGUAAGAGAAGAACGAGUGUGAGAGUGGAAAGUUCACACUGUGACGGUAUCUUACCAGAAAGGGACGGCUAACUACGUG
RNAcentral lists this ribosomal RNA (495 nucleotides) under uncultured bacterium. RNAcentral's name for it is "partial 16S ribosomal RNA". It matches the Rfam family "Bacterial small subunit ribosomal RNA", at positions 28 to 507 of the family's 1533-position model. The record is from RNAcentral.